Small nucleolar RNA from Nannospalax galili (Upper Galilee mountains blind mole rat), 75 nucleotides. RefSeq annotates it as small nucleolar RNA SNORD45. The record is from RefSeq and is a predicted model, not a curated record. The transcript has a single exon. NCBI's taxonomy places the organism in Eukaryota, Metazoa, Chordata, Mammalia, Rodentia, Spalacidae.
GGCCAGAGACCCACUUAUGGCAUGUAUUAGUUGAAAGCUGACUUGAUGUGUGCUCUAAAAUUACACCGAGACCUU